AACGAACGCUGGCGGCAUGCCUAACACAUGCAAGUCGAACGAGACCUUCGGGUCUAGUGGCGCACGGGUGCGUAACGCGUGGGAAUCUGCCCUUGGGUUCGGAAUAACAGUUGGAAACGACUGCUAAUACCGGAUGAUGACGUAAGUCCAAAGAUUUAUCGCCCAAGGAUGAGCCCGCGUAGGAUUAGCUAGUUGGUGAGGUAAAGGCUCACCAAGGCGACGAUCCUUAGCUGGUCUGAGAGGAUGAUCAGCCACACUGGGACUGAGACACGGCCCAGACUCCUACGGGAGGGAGGAGGGGGGAAUAUUGGAAAAUGGGGGGAAGGCUGAUCCAGCAAUGCCGCGUGAGUGAUGAAGGCCUUAGGGUUGUAAAGCUCUUUUACCCGGGAUGAUAAUGACAGUACCGGGAGAAUAAGCUCCGGCUAACUCCGUG
This 433-nucleotide ribosomal RNA is filed under the name uncultured bacterium. RNAcentral describes it as "partial 16S ribosomal RNA". It matches the Rfam family "Bacterial small subunit ribosomal RNA", at positions 29 to 507 of the family's 1533-position model. The record is from RNAcentral.